Molecule: ribosomal RNA, 1278 nt
Filed under: Arcte coerula
Lineage: Eukaryota; Metazoa; Arthropoda; Insecta; Lepidoptera; Erebidae
Description: 16S ribosomal RNA
Source: RNAcentral
UAAAAAAAUUUUUAAUAAAAAUAUUAUGGGGGUUUAAGUAUUUUUAUAGAAAUAAAUUAAUUAAUUUAUAGUGAAUUAGUAUUGUGAAAGAAUUUUGAAAUAAUUGAAAAUAAAAUUAUUGGAAAGUAAUUUUUAAUUAAUGUAUCUUGUGUAUCAGAGUUUAUUAAUAAAAAUUUAAGGGUUUAAAAUUCUCGAAUUUAAAAGAGAUAAUUAAUUAUAAAAGUUAUUGUGGCAUAAAUAUUUUAAAUAAUUAAUUGGAAAUGAAAUGUUAAUCGUUUUUAAAUAUAUCUAGUUUUUUUAGAAAAAAAUUUAAUUUUAAAUUUUAUUUUUAAGAAGUUAAUUAAUUAAUUUCUUAAAAAUAAAAUUUUAUACUUUAAGGGAUAAGCUUUAAAUUAAAUUUAUAUAAAUAUUAGUUUUGUUUUUGAAAUUUAUAAAAUUUAUAUUGUUUAAAAAUUAUAAUUUAUUAUAAAUAAUUUCAUUAAAAAUAAAAUUUAAAAUAAAUUUAUAUUUUUAUAAAAAAAUAAUUUUUAAUAUGAUAAAAUUAAUUAUAAUGAUAAAAUUAGUAUAUAAAAUGAAAAAUAAAAUUAUUUUUUUUUUAGUUAACUAAAAGGAAUUCGGCAAAAUUUUAUAUUCACCUGUUUAUCAAAAACAUGUCUUUUUGAAAUUAAUAUAAAGUCUGGUCUGCCCACUGAUGAAAUAUUAAAGGGCUGCAGUAUUUUGACUGUACAAAGGUAGCAUAAUCAUUAGUCAUUUAAUUGAUGACUUGUAUGAAAGAUUGGAUGAAAUAUAGACUGUCUCUUAGUUAAAAUAUAGAAAUUAAUUUUUUAAUUAAAAAGUUAAAAUAAGUUAAAAAGACGAGAAGACCCUAUAGAGUUUUAUAUUUAAAUUAAUUAAGAUUAUUUAUAAAUUUAAAAAUUAAAAUUAAUUUAAUUAUUUUGUUGGGGUGACAGAAAAAUAAAAAAAACUUUUUUUAAAUAUUUACAUAUAUAAGUGAUUAAAUGAUCCAAUUUUAUUGAUUAUAAGAAAAAAUUACCUUAGGGAUAACAGCGUAAUUUUUUUUUUUAGUUCGUAUAAAAAAAAAAGUUUGCGACCUCGAUGUUGGAUUAAGAUAAAAUUUAAAUGCAGAAGUUUAAAAUUUUUGAUCUGUUCGAUCAUUAAAAUCUUACAUGAUCUGAGUUCAAACCGGUGUAAGCCAGGUUGGUUUCUAUCUUUUAAUAAAUAGAAUAUUUUAGUACGAAAGGAUUAAAUAUUCAAAUUAAAUUUAUGUCAUUGAAUAUU